UUUGGAACUGAUUAAAGAAAAUAAUAGUGACACAAAAUUAUUAUAGUGAAUGAAGAAUACUUCCAAGAAGGAAAGUUGUUGAAUUGGCUCAACCAUUCACUAAAUCUGGAAUUCCCAAAUCAUAUCAAUGUUUCAAGUUUCAAUGGCAGCAGAAGCUUCCCUCUCAAUCUCCCUUCACUUGCAGCCGCACCACCACCACCACCUCCCAGCCGCAACCCACCGACACCCAUUUCUUCAAUUCCCCAACCACAAGCAACACAAUAACUCCAUCUCUCUCUCAGCCUCCCACUCUCCCUCUCCCUCUCCCUCCCCCUCUUCGUCCUCUCCCUCAUUACUGAAUCCGCUUCAAACCGGCCGAUUUCUCACCGACGACGACCUCGAGAAGCUCGAGCUUCUCGGGAACUACAGCUACCACCAGCAAUUGGAAUCCGGGCUUCUCUGGGUUCGCGCGAUGAGGGAGGAGGAGAUGGACCUGACCGUGACUCUGCUGUCCGAGUCCUUCGCGGAAUCGAUGAUGAUGGCGAGCGGUUAUGUGAAAUUGUUGGAGUUCUUGGUGAAGAAUUACUUGAUUGAGAGGAGGGAGAUGAUGCCUCACAAUGCUACGCUUCUAGGAGUGUACAGGGAGAAUGGGGAAGAGGAUUUUGAGCUGGCGGGAACUGUGGAAUUGACUUUUGAUGGAAAGGGGGCGAAUGCGAAUCCUCCUACUCCUACGCCGCCUAAGAACUCGCCUUACAUUUGUAAUAUGGCUGUCAGGAAGCCUCUCAGGAGGAGAGGCAUUGGCUGGCAUUUACUGAGAGCGGGCGAAGAACUUAUUACAAAAAUGAGUUCAUCUAGGGAGGUCUAUCUGCACUGCAGAAUUAUUGACAAAGGUCCAUUCAACAUGUAUACAAAAGCAGGUUACAGCGUUGUUCAGACGGAUAGCAUCUUGACCUUGUUAACGCUACAGAGGCGGAGGCGCUUGAUGCGCAAAGAACUUCCUGCCUCUGAGGAUGCUUCUGCUGUAGAUGCUCCUCCUGAUGACCAGCUUAUUGAUGAACGGUUGUAAAAAUGGCCUUUGAGGUUCCCUUUGUGUAGAUACUCGUACACCAGAAACCUUUGCUUCCCAUCUGCACAGUAUCCAAUCAAGUUGACGAGAUUGGGAUGGUCCAGUCUGCUCAGAAUAUCGACCUCUACGCGGAACUCCCUCUCUCCCUCUGCCUUCUUGAAUGGUGAAAAGUGCGACUCCAACAUACCUGCCCGGACCUUAGAGUGCCUUUAUAUACCCGGCCAAAGCCUCCUUUCCCAAGCAGGUAUUCAUCACUGAAGGAACAUGUCGCCUCCUCCAUCUCCUUCACCGUGUAUACUGCUGAUGCAGCUCUUCUCUUCGGCGGAGGCCCUUUGCACUCGAUCUGCCACUGCUCCACAGAAACUAAUCCAAAAGGCAUCUUUUGUUGCUUUGGUCUAGGAAGAAGUAGUCCUAACACAACAACAUAGGAGUUGAGAUUUCCUUAAACUAGAAGCAGGUGUAAGAAUGAGGCCGGAGAGAGGUUAUAUUGUUUGGAAGUACGAGAAUCGGUAUAUGAGUGUGUACAAAGCAAGUGAGGUAAGUUAGCUUUGAGCAUACUUAGUUCCAACAACAACCAGGAUUUGGCACUUGAAGUUAAAGAAAGAGGUGUAAUUUGCUUAGGUUUGUGCAUGCGUAUGUAUGUCUGAAAGGGAAAGAGCAUCUGCAAAAUCUUGUUCCAUAAUUUCUUGUUUUGAAUAUUUGUGAGAAUGAGAAAUGGUGUGGUUGAGGGGUGGCUUUCAUUGCUGCUCCAAAUCAAUCUUCUGUUCAACUUCUCAUUUGAUCGCACGUCCUUGUUCUUCAAAGCAACUUUUGUUUGUUAGAAUACAACCAUACUCAUAUUUUUA
This is an RNA transcript of Salvia splendens (bonfire salvia), 1890 nucleotides long. RefSeq lists it as uncharacterized. Lineage: Eukaryota; Viridiplantae; Streptophyta; Magnoliopsida; Lamiales; Lamiaceae. The record is from RefSeq and is a predicted model, not a curated record. The transcript has 5 exons.